Small nuclear RNA from Urocitellus parryii (Arctic ground squirrel), 106 nucleotides. NCBI's taxonomy places the organism in Eukaryota, Metazoa, Chordata, Mammalia, Rodentia, Sciuridae. The record is from Ensembl.
GUGCUCAUCUUGACAGCACGGAUAGUAAAAUUGGAACAAUACAGAGAAGAUUAGCAUGGCCUAUGUGCAAAAGAGUUAUGCAAAUUCAUGGAGCAUCUAUUUUUUU